Molecule: RNA transcript, 7373 nt
Organism: Pseudopipra pipra
Lineage: Eukaryota; Metazoa; Chordata; Aves; Passeriformes; Pipridae
Gene: SPATA22
Gene name: spermatogenesis associated 22
Exons: 20
Source: RefSeq, a predicted model, not a curated record
AGUGUCCGUUAUUUUUGGCGGGCUUCGCCUCAGGGCUGACCCUCAGUCCAGUCCCUCAGGGCUGACCCUCACCCCUGUCCCUCAUCCUUGUCCCUCAGGGCUGACCCUCACCCCUGUCCCUCAGUCCAGUCCCUCAGGGCUGACCCUCAUCCCUGUCCCUCAGCCCAGUCCAUCAGGGCUGACCCUCACCCCUGUCCCUCAGUCCAGUCCCUCAGGGCUGACCCUCACCCCUGUCCCUCAUCCUUGUCCCUCAGGGCUGUCCCUCACCCUUGUCCCUCAUCCUUGUCCCUCAGGGCUGACCCUCACCCCUGUCCGUCGUCCUUGUCGCUCAUCCCAGUCCCUCAGGGCUGACCCUCAUUCCACACCCUCAGGUUCCCCCACCGGCGUCAGAGCCCUCAGCCCGCGGCCGGCGCUGCCGCCUCCGUGUGAGGCACUGCCGAGGGUCGCCCUGCUCUGCCUGAGCUUACUGUUUUUCUACAGCGUUUUCUCUGGUGUUUAGUUGCUUAUCUUCAGAAGAGGCCAGAAAACAACACUCUCUAAGCUCCUAUGCGGUGCAAAAACUCUCUAUAAACUGAAAUCAAAUUUGGAGUAAUCAAUACAUCGUUGCCUGUUAAGACUCAGCAAAGAAAUGAAAAGGAGUUUUGGUGACACCUCAACUCGCAGCACAGCAGGUUGUCUGCCUGUACCGCUGUUCAAUCAGAAAAAAAGAACUAGACAGCCCCUCACUUCAAAUCCAAUUAAAAAUGAGCCAGGUGCCGGUUCUGGGACUCGUACAUAUGACUUCUCUCCCACAUCAUUUGGCUGGGGAACUGCACACCCAGAAGUGGCUGAACUGCAGAAAGCAGCAAACAGUGGCCAAACAGAACAUCAGAUGGCUCCUUCCCUCAUGAAACCACCAAAUGCAUCAAAGUUUAAUUUAGCAAAUGCUGGAAAAAACUUGGCUGCCUGCAGGAACAGAAAUGGGUAUACUCUGAGUAACACAGCAGAUUCAAGGUCUGAGAGUGGAAUUACUCGAAAGUUUGGGAACCUUUCAAAUAAUUGGAAAACUGUCCAGCAGCAAAAACCCCCUGGUAGCCGUAAUUCAUCUCAGCUCCUCAAAACAGAAACCAGCCAGCCAAACACAGCUAAAGGACAAUGGCCAGUGAAACCUGACCCUGCAUCAAGAAGUCUGCAGGGUCAUAGUCCAGCAUAUAAAUUUAACUACAAUAUUCAGCAAAAUAAAAUGAAUGAAAACCAAAUUGAUUUUGUCCCAGAAGAAAAAAGUCAGGAAGUUCCAUCAUCUCAAAUAAAAAUUAGAGACAGAAGGAAUUCUUUGCGAAUCCUGUCUGCAGUCAUUGAAAGUCUGAGGCACUGGAGUCAAUAUUCUUACAAAACUGCACUGUUAUUUGAAGUCUUAGGCACACUGGAUUCUGCAGUCACACCUGGAGCUUAUGGGGCAAAGAACUUUCUCCUGAGAGAUGGAAAGGAGACCCUGCCUUGUGUGUUUUAUGAAAUUGCACAAGGUGAUGCUGCAGGAGCCAGUGAAGGGAAAAGUCCUUCCCAGCACAAGGAACAUCCCCAGCACAUCUCACACUCCCUGAUCCUCAACCAGCUGCACCUGCUGGAGGUGCCCAGGACAGGAGGGAGCCCACAGACCUGGACACUGAGUUCUUGGCAGCUGUGUUUCUGCAUCUAGGGUCUGACAUUACCCAAACAUGCAGAAGCUGAAGCUAAAUACAAAGAAGUAAGUUAUAUUAUGCAGAUCUCCUCUCACUACACACAUAUGACACCACUAAAAACAAUAUAAAAUGAAAAUAUAGUAAAAAUGGAGCUAAACUAGACACACAUCUCUUGCAACAGGACAAGGGGUAAGAGCUCUAAAUUAAAAGAGGGAAGAUAUAAGGAGGAGAUAUAAAGAAUACACUUUCCAUGAUGACUGUGGUAAAACACCAGCAUGGAUUGCCCAGAGUGGUGGGUGCCCCAUCCCCAGAAGCAUCCAAGGUCAGGUUGAACUGGGCUCAGAGCAACCUGAUCUAGUUGAAGACACCCCUGCUCCCUGCAGGGGGUUGGACUAAAUGACUUUUGAAGGUCCCUUCCAACCCAAACUGUUCUGUGAUUCUGUCACCUUGUUUAGCAAAGGUCACUGAGCUUUCCCAAAAGAAGAAAUAGAGCUAAGGGCCAGCACAGCCUGAAAGUCAUGUGACACUCCUGCAUGCCCAGGAACACAGAGCACCACCUCUGGAGGCAGAAACAUGGGAAACAACCCUGGAGAACAACCAGGAAAAAGGGAGACUUUUGCUACUGCUGUUGUAAACUGUGAGAGUGUUAAACCACUGAGCUGAUGAACAAACUAAACCGUGCUAACCCAUGGACCUGUGCAUUGUAGAGUCACUCCUGGGAUGGUGCAGCUGGGAAGUGAGGCAAUGGGAUGCCUGAGAGACUGUGGUGUCCAGUGGGUGCACAGCACGGCCCCACUGCCACCCAGCCUGCUUGACUGCAUGAGGAAUCUGGAAACAGCCCCGGGGUGCAAAACCUUCUGUAAAAUGUUGGCAAAGUGAGCCAGUUUUAAGAGAAACAGCCACUGCUCUAAGCAACAAUCAGGUCUAAAACUAAAACUUCAGUUUGUUCAUUUUUUCAAAGCCGAAAUAGUCCUUGCAUUUCAUUUGGUGGAAAAAAAAGUGAUGCAGAAUUGGAAACAAUCUUUUUUUGUCAUAAAAUCCUUUGCUUACUGUUAAACUUCACUGUUUUUCUGACACUGUCUCAACCCCUUGCUCUGCUUCACGUAUCUGUCCAUACAUGUUUUCUUUUUGAUUGGGUUACACAGAAUUAUUUUGAAGGUUGUGCUUGACAGUGACACCAGUGUUUUGAUUACCACUUGGUGCUGAUGUUGCAUGGUGUGAUUUGAUGGAAGAAGCUUUAUUUUUUCGAAGGCUACAAAUAAUCUGUCACAGCUGAAUGUACGUGUUCACGUAUCAAACGGGCUAAAAAGUUACCCAUGGUUUCAUAUCCUCAGGCAUGUCAUAGAAUGACCUCAUUAUUCUCAUUUAGGUGCCCUCUUUCUUACAAAGACUCCAAAUAUUGAAUAGCCCGUUAUUAUCUGCAGAAGCCAAGCUUUCAGGCAUGGUGCUAAUGACUCCUUAAUGGGGCUGUCUGUCAGCAGCACAGUGAGCUGGGAGAGCACACAAAGAAACAGUGGGGCUCCAUUUAGGCUCCUCGUAGAACACUUACGCCUCUGCACGGCUUUCCAACAACAAACAGCACUUUGAGAGGUGUCAGAAUACAGCAGUGAGUGCAUUUCACCCUUCUGUGCGGUGUAAUCCUGCUGUCGAACAAGGUGAUAAGGGCAGACAACAUAUUGGGGUCUGUUCUACAGCACGAAGCCAAUUGAGUGUGAGGGGACUUGCUGGUAAAACGGGGAGUUGAGUUCUUUUUUUAACGUGGUUUGACUGAUCAUUUGAUUCAUCUCCCAUCAGGUACUGGGUCCUGUUAAAAACAUGCUUUUCUUUGUUUGUUUUUUUAUCUGACACACAGUGUUUGUUAUUGCUGGGUCUGCAUCACCUGAGUUCUCACACGUGGUGUUUGUUGUUGCUGAGUCCUCAUCACCUGAGUCCUCCCCAGUAACUCCCAGUAACUCCCAGCCUCUGCUGACUGCAGGGCAGCCCAAAGGCAAGUCCAGCACAGUGGGUCAACAGAAGUUCUUGUGGCUGUCAGAGCCACGUGCCAGGACUCUCAUUUGGGGUUGUGUCCAGUUCCUACUCCCUCGGCAACACGUGAAAUACCACCUCCCACAGGAGAGUGCAGAGCCAGACGCAGCAGGAAUGUGUCCCCCCGCCACAGGCAAAGGUGAUGUUUCCACCUCUGCCAACGGGAUGGCACUGGCAGCGAGCUGGUCCCUGUACCAUCAGGGGCACGUGCCAGCCCAGCCAGGGGCACAGUGUGGCCAGGGAUGGUGAGAGGACCCGUGACCCUCCUUCUCCAGCCCCCAGCUCGUGGCAGCAAUCAAAGAGCGUGAGGGCACCUUGGCCCCAGCACUGCGGCAGCCACGUCAACUCCUGUCAUUUCACAGCAAAUUCCAUGGAAUGUUUCUGGCUUUGGUUUUCCUUAAUUGUGGUAGCACAAAUCCCCUAAAAACUCACAGCUCCUGCUGGAAACAGCCGAUGAGCCGCUUGGGCUGCUAAUCCCCACGGAGAGGUGUGAAGAUGUUUUUCAGGACAAAGUGACAUGAAAAAGGGUACAAACAGGAUGGGUGCAGGUGAGUGUUACACUGACUGAAGAGCUGGGUCUGGUCUGGGACCUGCCAUGAGGGUUUGGAAACAAGAGUGUGGAGUCCCAGGGUCACAGCACCCUGAUGUGCACAGUGGUGGCCAAAGAACCAUCAAAUCCAACCAGGCACUGGCAAAGGGAACUAAGGUCUUGUGAAUAAAUGUGAGAAAAUUCAUGUGGGAGUAGGUAAAUGGUGAGGGUUGGUUUCUGCCAUGUGGGCCAGGAAUGCUGGAACACCAAAUGGCCAUAGGGCAGCUCUAGGGGCAGAAGGGGCAAUGCCACUGAGCAGGUUUAGGUGGGGCACAAGGGAUGGCAGGGGAACAGCUGUCCCAGCAUAGGGGACAAUGGAAAAGGCACAGCACAGGGCAGAUGGCAAGACUGGAUAUGCUCCCAAAACACUGGAUAUGCUCUUGGAAACCAGAAAUUUUUCCUUUUGUCACAACCUUUCCAGGGCUUCAGCUGGGAACUAUUCCAAGUGCUCCUGCCCUGUCCUGGAGUCACACCUGCAGGUCAAACAGCCACUUUUGAAGGAAAAUAACAAGGCUUAAGUUUGAAGAAGUCCAUGGAGCAAAGGAUUUGGUUGAUGGGGACCUGCCCACACCACAGCACACACAGGGGGUACCUCUUCCCAGCCCAGAUUUAGCUGCUUGUGCACAAAAUUCAGCACCACCUGUACCAGGACACAGCUCAGCCAGUUCCAGCCUUCCAGGAAACUUUCCUGCUUUCCAGCUAAUCAGGUAUUCACUAAAACACCAGAGGGGUUAAUGCCCAAACUGAUUCAAGGGGGUGGGAAGGAAGGCAUUUUUUUAAUUAGGGAGAAAAUAAGAGGCAGAUAAUAUGUCUGAUGAAUUAAGGCUGUCUCUCUUUCAGUGCCAUUGCAUCUGGGGAUGCUGGAAAGCAGUUCCUAAUGGCACUGCUUUAUCUAAGAGGAUGAUGGAUAGUGGUGAAAGAGAGAAAAAAGGGAAAAAGUAAGACAUUAGCACAUCAAUGGUGUGCCUGUGACCUCCAUCAAGGGAUGUGAACCAACUUAAUGAAAUUUUAAUUAGGCAGCAAGCAGUGCUCUGUCGCUGGGUACCAGAUCAGCCCUUCUUACCCAAGCUCUGUUAUUAUCCUGCCUUGGGAUAAGCCCUUUCCUGGCACUGGCAGCAAAGCUGGGCUCAUCGCCUUGGCCAGGGAAUGCCCCGCAGGUCACACCACUCUCCCAUCUGGCUUUUCCUCACAAAGCCAGUGGAGAGGAGCCUGAAGGGAGUGGGACUUGAAGCCUCAAGAGGAUGGAGGGAAUGUCCCACUGCCAAAAUGUCCCUUGCCGUGUCCCUGCCACCCUGUGCCAGACUCCGCUCUGGGCCCUGCAAAGGGGAAAUGCAACGUUCACCCCAAAAUGUCUCUGAUGCACCAGGACAAUGCCCUUCCCAAGGCCCGGGGUUCAACAUUGGCUCUUCACCGAGCAGGUGUGUGGGCAGGUGACCCAGUGUGAACUGACCAUCACUGUCACGAGUGGCCACAUCUCAGCUGAGCCCCAGUCCCUGCCCAGCCCCUGCAGCCCAAGCAGCGGCCCCAGGGCUGGCACCCACCUCUCCCUGCUUUUGUUUAAGUAAAGCAGCUUCCAUCUCCCUUUGAGAGCAGUGGAUAGAAUUAACCCUGAGAGCAGCCUGUCUGCAUUUCCAAUUAAUCUGACUUCCCCUGGCCCACCCAUAAGCUGGUCCUGUCUCAGCACCCCUUUCAGCCCAGCUUAGCAGUGAGCAGGUCACUGAUCAGUGAGUCCUGGUAGUGGUUUGUGGCUUGGGUACUGAAACGUGGGGCCACAGCCCAGGAAUUACAGGUUUCCCCAACACUGGGUGUUUUCUGUUCUGUUAAUGUAGGUCAAAAAACUCUGGGUGGCUGAUGAAAGGAGAUAAAGUUUACUGCGAGGCAAAUGUGCAUGAAGGGAAAGAUGGUGAUUUCAAGAAUUCCUUACACUUAGGACUUAACAACUCUUGCCAAUGCUGUAGCCUGCGCUAGAAGAGGAGUGACAGAUUUUCCAAAUAUCUUCCCAUCUCCAUGAGCAAUCUCCUGAUUCACUGGGAUCAGGGCUGCUGUGUAACUACUCUGCAAACCUGACCUGAGCAGGCAAACCUCAGAUGACAUCGGGGACCCAGGGCUGGACUGACACGGCGAGAAACCAGCAAUGAAGGUUUGUGAAACCCUUCAGCAUUUCCCAGUGAAAGGGACUGAACGGCUCCCCCAUCCCUUCAACAAAUCGGCACAUUUGAGCAGGGAAACCGCUGGAAACGUGCACGUUUCAGGAAACAAAAAGAACAACGUUCCCCAGGGAUGGACACCCCGGCUGUGGGCUGUGCCCACCCCGUGUGCUGCAGGACCGUGAUGGGAUUUAAGCAAUCACAGGCAGACCCGGUGUCCUGGGAGAGAUAACAGCGCAGCUCCACGGCAGGCUGAGCACCCCAGCUGCUGACACCCUUUGUGCCGGGCACAGCCACGACCUCUCGGGGAUGCUGCCCUGUAUUGUGAUCUGGAGGAAGUCCAAGCUUGUGUAUUCUGAGCAGCAGCAGUGAAGUCGCACUGACGACCUCGGGAUCUGACGGGGUUUUCUCGACCUCCAGAAGCUCAGCUGUCCCCCCGAGCGGACCCACGUCCAUCAGCCGCAAGCCAAAAGAGCCAAAUCCUUUCUUAAUAUAGCAAAAAAUAUCUUUAUCCCGCCCGAACGUCCUCAGCCGUGUUUGAGGCACUUAACUGCCGACACCGCUGAAACAGUUAAAGUAUUUAGGACACCGUAGAAUGGCCAAAAACUUGGGAAAAACAAGGCGGAUUGGAGAAAGGUCAUCCGAGGCUGGGACUGGGAGAAUUCUCUUCUUUGAAAUCCCCAGCAGAGUUGAGAAGCCGGUACCAACCCUCCUGUUCCCAUGGACUGAGGUCAGCCACAUCCAAAUUCGCUGGGAAUUCUGUAUGUGCAUGCAGACACUUGUUUUCCCAUUUAAAAAAAAAAAUAAAAAGGAGAAAAAUAUAAGUCUGUAAUUGAAGCUGCUGAGACUGCAGUUUCAGAGCAGCCCUGCUGUGAUGUAUCAGUUCCUUCUUCUUCAUUUUCCAGCUUCCCCAGCAUCCUGUUGUGCACAAAUAUAUGUCUGUGCUGCAUCUUU